Molecule: ribosomal RNA, 466 nt
Filed under: uncultured bacterium
Lineage: Bacteria
Description: partial 16S ribosomal RNA
Rfam family: Bacterial small subunit ribosomal RNA
Source: RNAcentral
GACGAACGCUGGCGGCGUGCUUAACACAUGCAAGUCGUGCGGUAAGGCCCUUUCGGGGGUACCCGAGCGGCGAACGGGUGAGUAACACGUGAGCAACCUGCCCUUCACUUUGGGAUAACUGCCGGAAACGGUGGCUAAUACCGGAUAUGACUUCCUCACGCAUGUGGGGUGGUGGAAAGCCUUCGGGUGGUGGGGGAUGGGCUCGCGGUCUAUCAGCUUGUUGGUGGGGUGAUGGCCUACCAAGGCUUCGACGGGUAGCCGGCCUGAGAGGGUGACCGGCCACACUGGGACUGAGACACGGCCCAGACUCAUACGGGAGGAAGCAGUGGGGAAUAUUGGAAAAUGGGCGAAAGCCGGAUCCAGCAACGCCGGGUGAGGGAUGACGGCCUUAGGGUUGUAAACCUCUUGCGCCUGCGAAGAAGAGAGUGUGACGGUAGCAGGUAAAGAAGCACCGGCCAACUACGUG